RNAcentral lists this ribosomal RNA (440 nucleotides) under uncultured bacterium. Its description in RNAcentral is "partial 16S ribosomal RNA". It matches the Rfam family "Bacterial small subunit ribosomal RNA", at positions 338 to 795 of the family's 1533-position model. The record is from RNAcentral.
CCUACGGGAGGCAGCAGUGGGGGAUAUUGCACAAUGGGGGAAACCCUGAUGCAGCGACGCCGCGUGGGUGAAGAAGCGCCUCGGCGCGUAAAGCCCUGUCAGCAGGGAAGACAAUGACGGUACCUGAAGAAGAAGCCCCGGCUAACUACGUGCCGGCAGCCGCGGUAAUACGUAGGGGGCAAGCGUUCUCCGGAUUUACUGGGUGUAAAGGGGGCGCAGACGGCCCCCCAAGCCAGGAGUGAAAGCCCGGGGCCCAACCCCGGGACUGCUCUUGGAACUGCGUGGCUAGAGUGCAGGAGGGGCAGGCGGAAUUCCUGGGGUAGCGGUGAAAUGCGUAGAUAUCAGGAGGAACACCGGUGGCGAAGGCGGCCUGCUGGACUGCAACUGACGUUGAGGCCCGAAAGCGUGGGGAGCAAACAGGAUUAGAUACCCUUGUAGUC